CCUACGGGAGGCUGCAGUGAGGAAUAUUGGUCAAUGGGCGAGAGCCUGAACCAGCCAAGUCGCGUGAGGGAGUACUGCCCUAUGGGUUGUAAACCUCUUUUGUCGGGGAGCAAAAGCCGGACGUGUCCGGCUGUGAGAGUACCCGAAGAAAAAGCAUCGGCUAACUCCGUGCCAGCAGCCGCGGUAAUACGGAGGAUGCGAGCGUUAUCCGGAUUUAUUGGGUUUAAAGGGUGCGCAGGCGGAUUUUUAAGUCAGCGGUAAAAUCGUGGGGCGCAAACCCAUCCAGCCGUUGAAACUGGGGAUCUAGAGUGUGCGAGAGGUAUGCGGAAUGCGUGGUGUAGCGGUGAAAUGCAUAGAUAUCACGCAGAACCCCGAUUGCGAAGGCAGCAUACCGGUGCACAACUGACGCUCAGGCACGAAAGCGUGGGUAUCGAACAGGAUUAGAUACCCUGGUAGUC
RNAcentral lists this ribosomal RNA (458 nucleotides) under uncultured bacterium. Its description in RNAcentral is "partial 16S ribosomal RNA". It matches the Rfam family "Bacterial small subunit ribosomal RNA", at positions 338 to 795 of the family's 1533-position model. The record is from RNAcentral.